RNAcentral lists this transfer RNA (74 nucleotides) under Malus domestica (apple). RNAcentral describes it as "Malus x domestica tRNA". It matches the Rfam family "tRNA". Rfam says of the family: Transfer RNA (tRNA) molecules are approximately 80 nucleotides in length. RNAcentral also lists the same sequence under 30 other names. The record is from Rfam by way of RNAcentral. Lineage: Eukaryota; Viridiplantae; Streptophyta; Magnoliopsida; Rosales; Rosaceae.
AGCGGGGUAGAGGAAUUGGUUUACUCAUCAGGCUCAUGACCUGAAGACUGCAGGUUCGAAUCCUGUCCCCGCCU